UGAGGAGCAGAAGGAGGAAACGUGAAGUCUGAAGCUGACUGAAGAUGAGUGAUUAUGUGGAGGAAGAGGACAGAGCAGAGUCUCCAGAGUUCAGCUGUGUGUCUCUGAAGAGUAACCGGUCCAAAAGACAUCCUCCAAACUUCAGUAAUGAACCUGGACCCUCACACGCAAAAGGUGAGGACCACAGACUGAGAGCAGAGUCUCCAGAGUUCAGCUGUGUGUCUCUGAAGAGUAACCAGUCCAAAGAAAUUCCUCUAAACUUCAGUAAUGAACCUGGACCCUCACACACAAAGUAAGAGA
Molecule: non-coding RNA, 300 nt
Organism: Paralichthys olivaceus (Japanese flounder)
Lineage: Eukaryota; Metazoa; Chordata; Actinopteri; Pleuronectiformes; Paralichthyidae
Source: RefSeq, a predicted model, not a curated record